UUCCGGUUGAUCCUGCCGGACCUUACUGCUAUCGGGUGGAGACUAAGCCAUGCGAGUUGUUCGAGCCAUGCGCAGCGUACGGCUCCUUAACACGUAGUCAAUCUGCCCUUAGGACGGGAAUAACCCUGGGAAACUGGGGCUAAUCCCCGAUAGGCGCAGUGGCCUGGAAUGGUGCGCUCCAGGAAUGCUCGUCGCCUAAGGAUGAGACUGCGGCCGAUCAGGUUGUUGGUGGGGUAACGGCCCACCAAGCCUAUAACCGGUACGGGCCCUGAGAGGGGGGGCCCGGAGAUGGGAACUGAGACAAGGUCCCAGGUCCUACGGGGCGCAGCAGGCGCGAAAACUCCACAAUGCGCGAACGCGUGAUGGGGUUAACCCGAGUGCUGUCCGAUGAGGAUGGCUUUUCUCCAGUUUAGGGAGCUGGAGGAAUAAAGGGGGGGCAAGACUGGUGUCAGCCGCCGCGGUAAUACCAGCCCCCUGAGUGGUAAGGACGAUUAUUUGGCCUAAAGCGUCCGUAGCCGGCUUGGCAAGUCUUCCGUUAAAUCCGACGAUUCAAUCGUCGAGCCGCGGAAGACACUGUUAGGCUUGAGGACGGGAGAGGUCGACGGUAGUCCCAGGGUAGGGGUGAAAUCCUAUAAUCCUGGGAGGACCACCAGUGGCGAAGGCGGUCGACUAGAACGUGCCUGACGGUGAUGGACGAAAGCUGGGGGAGCGAACCGGAUUAGGCACCCGGGUAGUCCCAGCUGUAAACGAUGCGAGCUAGGUGUUGGAGCAACUACGGGUUGCUCCAGUGCCGCAGAAAAGUUGUUAAGCUCGCCGCCUGGGAAGUACGGCCGCAAGGCUGAAACUUAAAGGAAUUGGCGGGGGAGCACCACAAGGGGUGAAGCCUGCGGUUCAAUUGGAUUCAACGCCGGA
Molecule: ribosomal RNA, 912 nt
Filed under: uncultured archaeon
Lineage: Archaea
Description: bacterial SSU rRNA
Rfam family: Archaeal small subunit ribosomal RNA
Source: RNAcentral